This 379-nucleotide unclassified non-coding RNA is filed under the name uncultured Oligoflexales bacterium. RNAcentral describes it as "contains 16S-23S intergenic spacer region". The record is from RNAcentral. Lineage: Bacteria; Pseudomonadati; Bdellovibrionota; Oligoflexia; Oligoflexales.
UCCGUGUUAACCACGGCAGUCUCCUUAGAGUGCCCAACUGAAUGCUGGCAACUAAGGACAAGGGUUGCGCUCGUUGCGGGACUUAACCCAACAUGUCACCACACGAGCUGACGACAGCCAUGCAGCACCUGUCUCUCUGUAGUAUUGCUACUAAAGCUGUAUCUCUACAGUUGUCAGAGGAUGUCAAAUCCAGGUAAGGUUCUUCGCGUUGCUUCGAAUUAAACCACAUGAUCCACCGCUUGUGCGGGCCCCCGUCAAUUCCUUUGAGUUUUAGUCUUGCGACCGUACUUCCCAGGCGGGGUACUUAUUGCGUUAGCGCCGGUUCGGCGGGGGUCAAGACCCACCAAACCUAGUACCCAUCGUUUACAGUGUGGACUAC